GUCGCUGCCAAUUCAGCGACCGGGCUUGGUAACCCGAGAGUUAAGCGCAACAGCGCCCCCAUUAGAUUUGCAGGCGUUUUUUU
RNAcentral lists this small RNA (83 nucleotides) under Pseudomonas syringae. RNAcentral's name for it is "isrK". The record is from RNAcentral. Lineage: Bacteria; Pseudomonadati; Pseudomonadota; Gammaproteobacteria; Pseudomonadales; Pseudomonadaceae.